Molecule: non-coding RNA, 1636 nt
Organism: Salvia hispanica
Lineage: Eukaryota; Viridiplantae; Streptophyta; Magnoliopsida; Lamiales; Lamiaceae
Source: RefSeq, a predicted model, not a curated record
GGUUUCUCUAUAAAACCCUAGUAUAUGCAUCUCUUCCUCAUUCAUCCCAUCUACAACACACAGCCUCAAUUUCUGCAUGUAGCAACCCGGGCUCCUCUGAAAUUUCUCAUAUGAAGAAAGAAGUCCCAAAGCUCGUGCGAUAACGACGCCGUUUAGUGUUGCAGAUUUGCCGCUGUACCAUUCUCACGGCCUAUUUGUGUCAAAACAACGGCAACACUCAUUCAUCCGCGCUCGUAAUUUCUCUAUUUGUUUUUGUUUCUUUUUUAAAAUAAUUGGAUUGCCUCACCACACCUUUAGCUUGUUUUCUGAAAAUUUCAAUGAAAAAUCGAGCUAGUCAUAGAGGCAUAGAUUUAGCGGCUUUCACGUGGGGGUUUACAUUUUUCAAUUGUUGUACCUCUAAAAAUGUCCGCUAUAUUUGAUGCACUAUUCCAGAAUUUUCGAAAUUAGGUAUUGGCAAUGAUUAAAAGAUUAUCCGCGCUUCUGAGAUUUCCAAUCGAUGAAGUAGAUUGAUAAUAAUGGUUGAAUUUCUUAAUAUGAGCCAAUUAAUUGAUUCAUUUCUUUUACUUAUAUAAUCUGUGGUUAUGAUGAUUUUUAAUCAGCUUAACGCCAGUUCUGCUUCAGAAAAUUCUUGAUCGAUAGAGCUGUAUAAUUAUCUGAACCUUGUUGAUUCUCUAAUUUAUUUAUUUUUAGGAAGCUAGUUUUUAAACCCUUUUAUAUCAGUGCUUCCUUUGAUUUGAUUCAGUGAUGAAAUUUCCAAUUUUGAGGUGUUGUGAUGUUGAGACCCUGUUUACAGGGGGAACCCCUUGAUGUUGCUUCAUCUUUCCAUGAAAACUUGGAAAUAUCUGAGAUUCAAUCAAACUAACUCGGUUUAUUUGAUUUAUUAAGACUUUCUUUUUGAAUAAAGUUGAUGCCUGUGAUGGUUGUUGGAUAGUAUAUGAGGCGUAGUGAAGCCGAGUUCUGCUUAUGCAGUUGAACCUCUCUGUGGAUCUAUGUUUAAAUUGAUUAUAAUUAACGUGCUGAGGCUAUUUAUGAUUUGUUUAUGUAAAGAUUGUUUAUGAUUUGUUUAGACACUGAGUUUCACUAUACCCUCUUUCUUGGUUUUUUAAAAUCUUAUUGAUAGAGGGUCUGAAAAACUCGUAUAUCAAAUGUGUUGUCAUCAGCUUCUUCUUUCGAUUUUGCAACGAGACUGGAGUUAAAUAACAGCACCAGAUUAUUCUGUAAAGUUUCUAUUUUCAGUUUUGAUAGUGUUUUGAUUUAAUUUUGUUUCUAUUGUGUUUGGAUUUAAUUUUUAUGAGAUGAAAUUAAUGAUUCUUUGUACGUUUAGAUAUUGAGUUUUACUAUAUCUCUACCUUGGUUUAUUUAAAUCUUGUAGGUUGAAGGUCUGAAAAAUUCGCACAUCAAAGCUGUUGUCAUCAGCUUCUUUUCUCGAAUUUGCAACGAAACUGGAGUUAAAUAACAGCACUAGAUUAUUCUAAUCUCCUAUUUUUAUCUUCGAAGGAUAUCAUUUUAAAUCUUGAUAUCAUUUUGUUUUUGUUUCAGAAUUAGUGUUGCUUGUUUAUUUGUCCUAGUAUCUUAUUAUAUUGUUGGAUCUUGUAUUUGUAUUUUAUGAAUUAGUGGUGAUUGUAUUUCUGCUGUU